Molecule: transfer RNA, 69 nt
Filed under: Podarcis lilfordi (Lilford's wall lizard)
Lineage: Eukaryota; Metazoa; Chordata; Lepidosauria; Squamata; Lacertidae
Description: tRNA.Ala
Rfam family: tRNA
About the family: Transfer RNA (tRNA) molecules are approximately 80 nucleotides in length. Their secondary structure includes four short double-helical elements and three loops (D, anti-codon, and T loops).
Source: RNAcentral
GCCGUGGCUCAGUGGCAAAGCAUCUGCUUUGCAUGCAGAAGGUUGCAGGUUCAAUCCCUGGCAUCUCCA